This 839-nucleotide long non-coding RNA is filed under the name Struthio camelus australis. Its description in RNAcentral is "lncRNA (ENSSCUG00000012493.1)". The record is from RNAcentral. Lineage: Eukaryota; Metazoa; Chordata; Aves; Struthioniformes; Struthionidae.
GAGUCUAGCCCCAGGAAUGGUGUCAACAGCAACGCAAGAGCAAGAAGAUGAGUUUAGAGCUCUCCUAUUGAGAUGGGGUUACGUGAACCUCAUUCCACAUUGGGUAGUGGGGACAGCAAGAGGAGAAAUGCUGUCACCUACCACAGGUGCCUCUGCAUUGCUUGCAGGCCUCCACCGCCCCCAUCUUCCCUACAGACUAUCAAAGGAAUUAGGAUUUGGAAGGAUGGAUGCACAGAGCACCUAACGUUUAAAUCUUUACGCAGCUUUUACUCCCAGUCAGGAGACCAACAGCAAGCCCAGGCACUGAAAUCUCCUGCCUCCUAUUUGCUCACGUCCCCUCCUUGUCAAGUGGUAGGAAAGACCCAGGUCAAAGUCUUACAGGACUGUGGUAAGCGGUGUGUGACCCCAUCCCCAGGGACACUCAUUUUGUACCCUGUUUCACUGCAGAAGUCCCCUGGCUGUGGGUUUUUUGUUUUUUUUUUUUGGCGGGGGCAGGGGGGAGAGGGGCAGGUUUGGGCCCAAAGAAAUUACAUUCUCUCAUUGUUUGACACACGGGUAAAGGAAAAGCAUGGAAAACAUCAGCCCACUUUUUUAUGCUACACCAAAAAGGAUGAAGCAGAUGUUUUUAAGUAAACAUGGGCUCUUGUUAUGCAUUUUUGAGAAGUCAAGAGAAGCUUUUUCAGAAGCAGGAGUAGCCCAUGAAUUUAAAGGAGUUUUAAAUACUGUACUUUCCCAUAAAGCUAUAAAACUCUGGCAGAAAGCUCAGCAGCCAAUCAAUGAGGAAUGAACCUGAGCAUGUUAUAACUCAGAUUACCAAUAAAAAUGUCAGGCUGAAAUCA